GUUUUUAACUGGAAAUCAUGUGAAGAUAUUCCAGUAGAGCCCCAGAAUAUGAAUAUAGAGCUGGAAAUGUUCAGAAUAUGUCCUCGUUAAUCCCGUAUUUAAAGAUAGCAGAUUAAAACAAUGUUAAUAUUGCCACUACAUCCACUCUUGAUAAUGUUACGUUAGCUUACUUUUUUAUAAACGCCAGCGUGUUCUGCAUGUUUUUGAAGUUUGUCACGUUUGUUUUGUUGCUGCUUCUUGUUUUAUUUUCAGUUGUUUCCGUUGGCCGUCUUUACUGGCAAAGACGUAACGUUACUGAAACACAAAAUGCUGCUUACUUUUGCAACAGGACAAGCAGCUGAAUUAACAUCUGAACACGAGAUAGUUUUGUGUGUCAGAGGAUAAUGUUCGACCAAUCAGGAGAUGCAAGGUGUGAUUCUGCAGAUACAUGUGCAGGUUGUUUAAUAAAGACUUUCAGUAACACUUUAUAGUAAGGGAACAUGAAUUAUCAUCACUUCAUGCAUGAAAAAGCAUGAAUUAAUUCACGUAAAACCUCAUGAACUAUCAGGAAUGUACAAGUCAGGUUUUUAUCUCGUCAUUUUAACUGCAGACUUAACAAUGAAGAAGACAUGAACAUCAUUAAUAACUCACAAAUCAUGAUGAUUGAAAGAAAUAUCUUCCCCUAGUAAACGUAUUGUUCUUGCAUUAAGGCAUGCAUAAGAUAAUGUUAAUUCUUCUGCAUCCCUGAUAGUUCAUGAGGUUUUUCAUGCAUGAAGUGAUGAUAAUUCAUGUAACACAUUCACAUUAUCAGUAUUUGUCAUUUGUUAACAAAAAUUGUGAUAUAUUUUGUUAUAAUUCUGGUUUUCAGGUUACUUUUUCACUCGGUUUCCAUCCAGUUUCUAUCAUGAAUAAAAAAGGCUGUCAUUAACACAAUUAACAAUGGAAACUAUGACUGUAGUAAACUAAAACUAAAUAAUCAUAAGCUUAAUUCCUAAAAUAACAUUAGCAAAGUAGAGACCAAUGAAAACAUCACUGAUUGGUUGUAAAAGGCGGCUUAUGGGAGCUUUGAUCAUAUGGCAGUUGUUAUUGCUCAGACAAACUGAAUGGAGGGAUUUGAGACAUUUUCUUAAGGAUUUAUCCCGUUGAAUUUGUAAGAAGGUCGGGGUUCAGGUGACCUCUGACCACUGGCUUCCUUGUUAUUGAUUGUCUGAUUGUUUUGAAGUUGUUUACUGCUGCUGCGAUGGGAACUCUUCCGACAGAUAAAUUCUUGUCUCUUUUUGUCUGCCUUUCUAUAAUGAAACGGCGCAUAUAAUAUAUUUAAGAUCAAAGAUUUCAAGACUAUUUUCUCAACAGGCGGAAGUAGAAAGAAAGAAAGUAGUUUGUUUCCUAUCGUGGUCAAUGUUGGCGUCUUUUAACCAUGACUGCAAUCUUUCUCUAACCUUAAUCUAAUAGUUUUUACACCUAAAUCCAACCAAGCCUUAACAAUAGAGAUGACACGUCAUGACAACAGUCAGGAAGGUGUUAACAAGCAAUGUUGUACACACCAAGUUUCCCUAUCGUAACUUAUAGAUGGGUUUCAAUCUGAAUAUAGUGCAAAAUUUAACCUAAUUUCCAGAAAAUAGGUAAAAGAAAACUUGAAUUCAUGCUUGUUUCCUUCCACUACUGCUCUGUGCACUGAGCUCCUCUCCUCCUCCUCCUCCUCCUCCUCCUCCUCCUCCUCCUCCUCUCCAUCUGUACGCAUUCAUGCCCCAUUAAUGCAUGUUACUAACUUGGCUUCUUCCCCCGGAGUUUUUGUGCUUUCUCGUCUAGCAGGUGACCUUCGGUUGCGGACCGCCUGCUGCCCGUGGCUGCGGGACCUCCUGCCGUCUUAAUGACCCGACGUUGGUGAUGCAGGAUCUGCUUCAGUUUGUGGGCCGCAGUCAUGACAGCCAACAGUAGGCAGGUCAAAGGGAGAGUCGCACAUCAUCAGGACAGCCGUCAGUGAGAGUCCAUCAGAUCAGCGUUUUGUCGUCCACAUCCUGUCCUGUCGUCUGGUUCUACAUCGGAGCAAGCAGCUGGGGACAGUGACGGUCCAAACGCUCAAUCACCAUCACUUAUCAGCCCUGCAGGGUGGCAGCGUCUCCAUUCCCGCCAUUCUCAACACGCCAUCACUGUCAGAUUGUGGACCAGUUUGCCCCGAACUGCCAGAUCUUCCCCUUCAAUUAGCACCUUUAAAUCCCGGCUAAAGACCCAACUGAAUAUGAUUGUAUUUGAGUCUCCUUAAUCAGCUUUCAGUUCGACCUCCAAACAAACUGGUUUUCCGAUCUGAUCAUCUGAUUACAUUGCUGGACCCACCAGACUUCUUUUUAGUGACGUCAGCAUGUUGCCAGAUCUCAGCGAUUAACCUGGUGAGGAAAAUAACACCCGAGUUACACGUCGUCAUCUGGAACGAUCUCUCGGUGAACAUUAACAGGAUGGAGAAGGUAACUUUAAAAAGAUGCUCAACAGACAAUGACAACAAAUGUUGCUUAUAGGACUCAAUGUGCUCUUACAUUAAUGAUUAUGGGCUUAACCACUUACCAUAAGGUAAGCAGCCUGCACUGUAAGCUUGCACCAUAAGGGGAAACUCCAUUCAUCUAUCCGUUGUCAUUACCUGAUUAUCCUGAGCAGGGUUGCAGUGGGUG
This is a long non-coding RNA of Thunnus maccoyii (southern bluefin tuna), 2642 nucleotides long. RefSeq lists it as uncharacterized. The record is from RefSeq and is a predicted model, not a curated record. The transcript has 6 exons. NCBI's taxonomy places the organism in Eukaryota, Metazoa, Chordata, Actinopteri, Scombriformes, Scombridae.